GUUAGUAGAAGGGAGUCAAAUCCAGAGCAGAAAGUUUGCAUUUUUCAAGAGCUAUACAAAAGGCAAUAAGGGGUGCUCAGAGAUAAUUGUUUACCCUCCUUAGAGAUAGUUGCUGAGAGGGAAAUUCUCCUCUAAAACAAAACAUGAUCUAUCAGAUGAGGAAACAUUGUUACAUUGCUCCAUGGUCCAGUUCUGAUGCUCACGUCCCCAUUGAAGGCGGUCUACAG
Molecule: non-coding RNA, 227 nt
Organism: Pelobates cultripes (western spadefoot toad)
Lineage: Eukaryota; Metazoa; Chordata; Amphibia; Anura; Pelobatidae
Source: the annotation of a GenBank genome assembly